This 1380-nucleotide ribosomal RNA is filed under the name Triticum aestivum (bread wheat). RNAcentral's name for it is "partial small subunit ribosomal RNA". Lineage: Eukaryota; Viridiplantae; Streptophyta; Magnoliopsida; Poales; Poaceae. The record is from RNAcentral.
AUGUGCACCAACCAAACCCCCCCUUCCUUCUUUCCCCACCACGCCACCGCUCACGGGCAAAGCAGAAUCGCAAAACCCUCUCCCCUCUGCUCCACCCCAACGAGCGAAAUGCUCCGACGCCUCGCCGGCGCCGCCGCGGCGCCCCUCCGCCGCUCCCUCUGCACGGCCGCGGCGGCCUCCUCGCCCCCUCCGUGGGCCAUGCUCUACACCAAGCCGGCGCUGGACGCGUCGGGGGCGCCGUCGCGCGCGUCCCUCGACCUCCACGAGGACCUGUGGGCCCAGCUCUCCGUCCCCGCCCACCUCGUCGUCCCCGACGCCGGCGACGCCGCGGACUUCUUCGCCGGCGCCGUCCGCGCCGCGACCCCCGACGGCCUCCUCCUCCUCGACUUCUCCGACGCCCGCUGCCGCGCCCCGGUCAACGGCACCUUCCGCCCCAGCUGGCUGGCCGAGUUCGACGCCGCCGCCGGGUACGCCGGCGAGCCGGACGUCGCGCGCUUCGUCUGCAACCCGCUCAGCGGCCAGCUGGUCCGCCUCCCUGCCCCGGGCGCGGAGUUCGCGAGGUCGUCCACCGCAGGCUGCUCCACGGGUUUCGGCCUGCUCACCCACUCCGAAGGCUCCCGCGGCCCGCCCGACAGGUACGUGGUCGCUCAGCUCAGCCGCAGCCGCCGCGGGGGAGCGGACCACCCCGUCGUGUGCCGGUUCCUGUCGGAAACAGGGAAGUGGGACGAGCGGCGGCUGGCCGGCCCGUCCACGGUGCCGGCUAGCCGGGACAUGCGCAUAGACCCGAACCUCGAGGUGGUGGCAUUCGGCGACCGGCUGUGGUGGCUCGACCCGACCUGGGGCGUCUACUCCGUCGACCCUUUCAGCGACCAGCCGGAGCAUCGCUUCGUCAAGCUGCCCCCGGCCAGCGUGCUGCCUGACCUGAUUGACCUGGCCGGGACGCCGGUGCUGGGCAGGUACCGUCGUCUGGGGGUGAGCGAGGGGAAGCUGCGCUACGUGGAGGUGUCUAAGAGCAGGAAGCCAUUCGUGUGCAGCUCCUUCUCGCUCGACCAGAAGGACCACAUACCGUGCAUUGCCGCCAUCGAUCCAUUCCAGGCGAACUUUCUGUACCUCAUCUAUGGUCGCUUUCUUAUUGUUGUGGACAUGGCUAAGGGGAAAAGCUUAGGGGGCCGGUAUCUUCCAGAAAGAGCCGGCGAUCAAACCCUGUGCCCCUCUGGUUUUCUUGUGCCCUGCACGCUCCCAACAUGGCUAGGGUCCAGCUACAUCCCCUGUGCAGUUCUUGUGCGUUCAAACAUGAUUGAAGGGUCCCUUUCGAGCAAGAAGACCAAUUCCGGAAGGAACACUUGGGCCGCCACGCUGGUUCAUGCAGACAGGGACUGA